This 327-nucleotide long non-coding RNA is filed under the name Phasianus colchicus (ring-necked pheasant). RNAcentral's name for it is "lncRNA (ENSPCLG00000020200.1)". Lineage: Eukaryota; Metazoa; Chordata; Aves; Galliformes; Phasianidae. The record is from RNAcentral.
ACAUGGAGGUGACACAUGGAGGCGACACAUGGAGGUGACACAGAGGUGCCACGAGGUGACAGAGGAGGUGACACAAAGGUGCCAGGAGGUGACACAGGAGGUGACACAGGAGGAGGUGACACAGGAGGAGGUGACACAGACGUGCAAGGAGUUGACAAGAGGUGCCACGGAGGUGACACAGGAGCUGACACAUGAAGGUGACACACAGGUGACACGGAGGUGACACAGCAGGUGACACAGGAGGUGACACAGGAGGAGGUGACACAGAGGAGGUGACACAGGCGUGCAAGGAGUUGACAAGAGGUGCCAAGGCGGUGACACAGGAGC